Small nuclear RNA from Bison bison bison, 108 nucleotides. NCBI's taxonomy places the organism in Eukaryota, Metazoa, Chordata, Mammalia, Artiodactyla, Bovidae. The record is from Ensembl.
GUGCUCGCUUCGGCAGCACAUAUACUAAAAAUUGGAACGAUACAGAGAAGAUUAGCAUGGCCCCUGUGCAAGGAUGACACGCAAAUUCGUGAAGCAUUCCAUAUUUUU